AUGUGGAGGCUCAUCCUGCCCCCUCAGGAGGGCUCUGAUGGGAGGCUGGGGGUGCUGAGGCAGCUGGGGGUGCUGGGGGGUCUGAACCCCAUUAUGUCUCUCUGGUGCUGUCCUGACGCCUUGUGGGGUGGUGGGUGCCUACAGACCCCAGGGCCAGGCUGUCCUGUCCUGGUAGAGGUGGCAACAGUGGCAGUGGUGGCAGUGGUGACAGGAGAGCCCCUGGGCUGUGUCCCCCAUAAAUCAGGUUCACCGUGGCACUCACCUGGCCUCAGAGGAAUGCCAGCCCAUGGUGCCACCUCAUGUCCCCAGCAUGUUCCACCCUUGCUGGGGAACUCUGAGCAGGGGGUGGGUGGCUCUGCUGAGUGUGUGGGCACAGGGGGAGAGAGGAUGUGGGGGUUGGCAGAGCCCACUAACCCUCUGCACCCUCCAGCUGGGUCCAGGAGUUCCUCAACGAGGAGAACAAGGGGCUGGACGUGCUGCUGGAGUACCUCGCCUUUGCCCAGUGCUCUGUCGCGUACGUCCCCAGCGGGUCCCCUGUCCCCAGGGCUGGGGCUAAGCAGAACAUCCCCAACAUCCCUGAGGGUACCCCAUACUGGGGUGCCACAUCUCACCCGUCCCCAUGUCCCCACGGGCCACCAGGUACGACAUGGAGAGCGCAGAGAGCAGCCCCGGCUCCGACAAGGGCAAGGAGCGGUCGCUGGAGGAUCUGAACAAAAGCUCGUCCCCCACGCAGGGCUCCUCCAAGGCGCGGCCCCUCACUGUGAGGUAACUGUGCCACCGUCCCCGCUGUCCCCUGUCCUUGUCCCCUGUCCCUGUGUCCCGCUCUCGCCUCGCUGCACCCCGGCCGCACCGCGCUUGGAGAGGGGCUUGGCAGGGGGACUCAGGCCCGCUCCUAGAAAUGGGCACCCAUCGCUGGUGGGAGGGUGGGGACAAAGCCACAUCCCCCGUGUGUCCCCAGGGUCCGCGACCGUGCUCGGGUCAAACCCCAGGAACAGAAAAAAAUUUGGCGUGUUGGAGAUUUUGGGGCAGCAAAUCGCAGCCCCCCGGUUUAAAGCCGGGCAGAGGGACGGGCCUGUGUCCCCCCAAGCCGGUCCUGGUGGCUGGUGGCUCUCGCUUGGUGCCCCCUCUAACCCCGCUCUUCUCUUGCACGCUGCCGGGGACGCGCUGACGGUAGGUGACGGGGCACUGGCGGGAUGGGGACACCCCACGGGACCCCGCUGCUGGUCACCGGUACCGGGGACAGGACCUGCGGGGCAUCCCCGGUGGGCGGGGGGUCCCAGGGACACCCCACCGCGGUCACCCCACGAGCUGUAA
RNAcentral lists this long non-coding RNA (1314 nucleotides) under Taeniopygia guttata (zebra finch). Its description in RNAcentral is "lncRNA (ENSTGUG00000019208.1)". Lineage: Eukaryota; Metazoa; Chordata; Aves; Passeriformes; Estrildidae. The record is from RNAcentral.